Molecule: unclassified non-coding RNA, 323 nt
Filed under: Hevea brasiliensis (rubber tree)
Lineage: Eukaryota; Viridiplantae; Streptophyta; Magnoliopsida; Malpighiales; Euphorbiaceae
Source: RNAcentral
AAUAAUAAUAAUAAUAAUGAAACCUGAGAAACAUAUUAUUUCUCAAGGAUGACUGGUCCCUAAACUUGACAUCACUAAAGUAUAAGAAUAAGGAAAUCCAUUCAUUUAACAACUUAAAUGAAAUUUCAUUCAAGAUCUUGGACCCUAUUUUAUUAUUAAAGCAAACAUGCAAGUCUCUUCUGAUAUGCUUCAAACUUUCAAUUACUAGACACUAACAGCGCCAGUGAAAAAAAAAAGGAAGGAUAAAAAAGAAGGAAAAAGAAAGCUUGAUACGGUACAAGGAAAGAUAUUAUAUAUGAUGAUAAGAGAGAGAAAUCAAAACA